GCACAGGUCCAGCUCCUGGAAGGAUGAGACCGCCAUCUGCUGAGAUGGAGACGAUGUGAAGCAGGAGUGGGGACGAAGAACACUUUUGACCUGAGGAACAUCCACUUGGAGAUGUCAGGUGUGUUCACAGAUUUAGGCUGGGCUCAUUGGAGGCUUUGAUGGGGGGCAGGCAGGCAGAAAAAAGAUUAGGCCCUUGUCCCCAUGGGCAGGGUCCUGGGGUUCCUUCUGGAUUCUGUUUCCAGAAUCGCCUACACACCCAUCCACCCCCCAACACACAGCGGCCCUAUGGUCAGAUCCCGGAGCUGUCCGAGACCCCCGGUGCUGAACCUCCAGCUCUAAGCAGCAACCGCGUUCCAGCUGGCGGGGAGUGAGAGAGGAAAACGUAUCGUUGGACUUUACCCAGAAUGGCAAAGCUAUUUUGAUGCCAUUGGUCUGCGCUCGUUUCUAUGCCUCGCUCACUCCAACUUGCACUGUACAGACCCCCAAAGAGAGGCAGGUAUAUGUUGCUCUAAGUUCGUUCCAAACUGCACCUUUAAGGAUCGCUGAAUGUGUCACUCCUGACGUCGCAAUUCCCCAAGCUCUGAAGAUAGGUCCGACUUCAGACUGUGGAUUGGCUGAUGACUUCAUGAAUAUGUGGAUCACCAUCAACUUCACUUCGCUCCGGCCUCACCUCCUCGGGGCACUCCUGGGUCUUCGGCUGCAUCAGGUCCAGUUGGGGACUUUCUCCCUCAACAUUCCAAUUCAAAAUCUAUUGUGUAACAGUGCUGGCGAGGAUGCGGAGAAACUGGAACCCUUGUGCACUGCUGAUGGAAUGUACAACGGGGCAGUUGUCAUGGAAAAUGGUUGGGCGGUUCCUCAAAGAGCUAAACAGAAUUAUCAUAUGACCCAGCAAUUGUGCUCCUAGGUAUCUACCCGAGGAAACUGAAAUAGGUGUUCAAACACAAACUUGUAUACGAGUAUUUAUGGUGGCACUAUUCACAAUGGCCCAAAGGUGACAACAACCCAAAUAUCCGUUAAUGGAUGAAUGGAUACACAAGAUGUGGUCCAUCCACACUUCACUCAGCCAUGAAGAGGAGUGAGGCGCUGACACUCGCCACAACGUGGAUGGACCUUGAACACACGGGGCUCAUGAGAGAAGCCG
Molecule: long non-coding RNA, 1141 nt
Organism: Rhinolophus ferrumequinum (greater horseshoe bat)
Lineage: Eukaryota; Metazoa; Chordata; Mammalia; Chiroptera; Rhinolophidae
Exons: 3
Source: RefSeq, a predicted model, not a curated record